Molecule: ribosomal RNA, 545 nt
Filed under: uncultured bacterium
Lineage: Bacteria
Description: bacterial SSU rRNA
Rfam family: Bacterial small subunit ribosomal RNA
Source: RNAcentral
UUGCGNNUGGGCGAAGCCUGACGCAGCAACGCCGCGUGGGGGAUGAAGCUUCUCGGAGUGUAAACCCCUUUCGACCCGGACGAAUGCCCGCAAGGGUUUGACGGUACGGGUAUAAGAAGCCCCGGCUAACUACGUGCCAGCAGCCGCGGUAAAACGUAGGGGGCCAGCGUUGCUCGGAAUUACUGGGCGUAAAGGGUCCGUAGGCGGUGUGGCAAGUCGGAAGUGAAAUCUCUGGGCUUAACUCAGAGGCUGCUUCCGAAACUGCCGUGCUCGAGUGUGAGAGAGGCGAGUGGAAUUACGGGUGUAGCGGUGAAAUGCGUAGAUAUCCGUAGGAACAUCCGAGGCGAAAGCGGCUCGCUGGAUCACAACUGACGCUGAGGGACGAAAGCUAGGGGAGCAAACAGGAUUAGAUACCCUGGUAGUCCUAGCCCUAAACCAUCAGGACUUGGGGUUUGCCCUGUACGGGGCAAGUCCCGUAGCUAACGCGUUAAGUCCUGCGCCUGGGGAGUACGGUCGCAAGGCUGAAACUCAAAAGAAUUGACGGA